GAAGGGGUGUAUUUAUUAGAUAAAAACCAACCCUUCGGGUCCCUUGGUGAAUCAUAAUAACUUCUCGAAUCGCAUGGCCUUGCGCCGGCGAUGCUUCAUUCAAAUAUCUGCCCUAUCAACUGUCGAUGGUAGGAUAGAGGCCUACCAUGGUUGCAACGGGUAACGGGGAAUAAGGGUUCGAUUCCGGAGAGGGAGCCUGAGAAACGGCUACCACAUCCAAGGAAGGCAGCAGGCGCGCAAAUUACCCAAUCCCGACACGGGGAGGUAGUGACAAUAAAUAACAAUAUAGGGCUUUUAUAGGUCUUAUAAUUGGAAUGAGUACAAUUUAAAUCCCUUAACGAGGAACAAUUGGAGGGCAAGUCUGGUGCCAGCAGCCGCGGUAAUUCCAGCUCCAAUAGCGUAUAUUAAAGUUGUUGCAGUUAAAAAGCUCGUAGUUGAACUUCAGGCCUGGCCGGUCGGUCCGCUUCACAGCGUGUACUGCUUGGCCGGGC
RNAcentral lists this ribosomal RNA (491 nucleotides) under Entyloma gaillardianum. RNAcentral's name for it is "SSU rRNA". It matches the Rfam family "Eukaryotic small subunit ribosomal RNA", at positions 195 to 690 of the family's 1831-position model. Lineage: Eukaryota; Fungi; Basidiomycota; Exobasidiomycetes; Entylomatales; Entylomataceae. The record is from RNAcentral.